UGACAGCCCCGUACACAAAAAUGCACAUACUGUGAGCUCGAUGAGUAGGGCGGGACACGUGGUAUCCUGUCUGAAUAUGGGGGGACCAUCCUCCAAGGCUAAAUACUCCUGACUGACCGAUAGUGAACCAGUACCGUGAGGGAAAGGCGAAAAGAACCCCGGCGAGGGGAGUGAAAAAGAACCUGAAACCGUGUACGUACAAGCAGUGGGAGCCUCUUUUAUGGGGUGACUGCGUACCUUUUGUAUAAUGGGUCAGCGACUUAUAUUCUGUAGCAAGGUUAACCGAAUAGGGGAGCCGAAGGGAAACCGAGUCUUAACUGGGCGUUAAGUUGCAGGGUAUAGACCCGAAACCCGGUGAUCUAGCCAUGGGCAGGUUGAAGGUUGGGUAACACUAACUGGAGGACCGAACCGACUAAUGUUGAAAAAUUAGCGGAUGACUUGUGGCUGGGGGUGAAAGGCCAAUCAAACCGGGAGAUAGCUGGUUCUCCCCGAAAGCU
This 497-nucleotide ribosomal RNA is filed under the name Escherichia coli. RNAcentral describes it as "partial 23S ribosomal RNA". It matches the Rfam family "Bacterial large subunit ribosomal RNA", at positions 365 to 867 of the family's 2925-position model. The record is from RNAcentral. Lineage: Bacteria; Pseudomonadati; Pseudomonadota; Gammaproteobacteria; Enterobacterales; Enterobacteriaceae.